This 780-nucleotide non-coding RNA is filed under the name Schizocephala bicornis. The record is from RNAcentral. Lineage: Eukaryota; Metazoa; Arthropoda; Insecta; Mantodea; Mantidae.
UUAAAUAUUAACUUUAACUUUAGUUUAUAUGUAAAUUUUUGUAAGUCUUAUUUUCUAAAAGGUAAUAAGAGUUAAGGAUUAGUUUGCAGUAAAUAAUUUUAUUUAUAUUAAGGUAAAUUAGAUUUGGUAAAGGUUAUAAAGAAUUGGAUAAUUUUGUGCCAGCAUCCGCGGUUAUACAGAAGAUUCAAGAUAAUAGUUUUGGGUUAAAAUAAUUAUUUAUUAAAGAUAUUUUGGAAUUAAUUUAUUAUGAAGUGAAAUAUAAAUAAUAUUUUGGGUAAAAUAAUUUAAGGGAAAAAUUGUUAUGAAAAUGAAAAUAUAAACUAGGAUUAGAUACCCUAUUAUUUUUAUUGUAAAAGUUUAAAACCUGAGUAGUAAUAGUUAUGGUCUUGAAACUUAAAGAAUUUGGCGGUAUUAUAGUCUAUUUAGAGGAAUCUGUUAUGUAAUUGAUAAUCCACAUUGAACCUUACUUAUAUUAUUUCUUGUAUACCGCUGUUUAUGAAAAUAUUUUAAGAUAAAUAUUCUUAAUGUUGAAUUAAACGUUAUUUCAAGUCAAGGUGCAGUAAUAUAUAAGUUGAAUAAUGGAUUACAAUAAAUUUUAUUUAUUAACGGAUAAAUUAUUUAAAAAUAAAUUUUGAAGGUGGAUUUAAUUGUAAUUUUUUGAAGACUGUAAAAAUGAUUUUAGCUCUGUAAUAUGUACAUAUCGCCCGUCACUCUCGUUAUUAAAUGAGAUAAGUCGUAACAGAGUAGGUGUAUUGGAAAAUGUACCUAGUAAGAGUAGUA